GGCUAACGCUGGCGGCGUGUCUUAGCCAUGCAAGUCGAGCGGACUUAUGGGGUAACUUAUAAGUCAGCGGCGGACGGCGGAGUAACACGUAGCUAACCUACCCUCUGGACGGGGAUAACCUACCGAAAGGUGGGCUAAUACCCGAUGUAGUCAUCCUGUAUAGGGGUGAUGAAAGGUGGGCUUCUGUUUACAAGCUCAUGCUGGAGGAGGGGGCUGCGGCCUAUCAGGUAGUUGGUAGGGUAAUAGCCUACCAAGCCGAUGACGGGUAGCCGGCCUGAGAGGGUGACCGGCCCGAGGGGCACGUGAGAUACGGGUCCCACGUCCUACGGGAGGCAGCAGGCUAGAAAUUUGGGCAAUGGGGGAAACCCUGACCCAGUGACGCCGCGUGCAGGAAGGAGCCCUUCGGGGUGUAAACUGCUGUCGUGUAGGGAGAAGGGUACUAAGGUGAACAAUCUUAGUACUUGACGGUACUACAGGAGGAAGCCCAGGCUAACCUCGUGCCAGCAGCCGCGGUAAGAUAGCGUACU
Molecule: ribosomal RNA, 527 nt
Filed under: uncultured bacterium
Lineage: Bacteria
Description: bacterial SSU rRNA
Rfam family: Bacterial small subunit ribosomal RNA
Source: RNAcentral